AUGGGUCAUUUCUCUUGUCCUGUUUUCAAGGCGGUGAAGCCCUCCUCUGCGGCCCGUCUUUCGGGAGGCCUGUCGAGCGCAUUUUUCAUUUGGGUCCAGGGUUUUUUCAACACGAGGGUCUCCAUUUGUUUUCUUUCUGAAGUUUCCACUUCGCGGCCAGCAUCACCCCCACUUCGCGGCCUUCUUGACACUUGGCUGGCGAAUCCUUUCAGGGGAUCGUGCCUGAGACGUGCAGAGACGACUCGUCCCAUCUUGGCCUGGAACGUGCCGCGUUUGCUCCAGGAGGCGUUGCAGUCACUGCCGGGUCCUCAGCGCUGUGUGGACCUGUCUUCUCGGGCCCGGCCGCCAGCCAGAGCUGUGGCCGGUCCAGUUUUUCAGGAGCCGCCUGCAGGGUUUGCUGAGCCAGGUCGAGGAACGCAGACGCCCAGCAACUCCGCCGCGGUGCCGCUUCCUGCUCAGAUCAUAAGCUGCUCAGGACUCAGGGACCCCGCACUGAUCUGUGAUCCCUCGCCUGCUCCUCCCUGGGAUGGUUCUCAUUUCCAGCUGCUGCGGCAGCUCUGACCUUUAACCUCUGGCUGGAGCCCAAGGCCACAGCCUCUUCCCGCGCCAGCACCUGUGCUGCUUUGUGCGGGGACAGCGACCUCGGGAAGGGCUGGUCGCCGUGAGCUGGCUGGUCAAUGACCUUCCUCCUGGGAGGGCCUGUGCCCGCUCCUGGUUAUUCUCUGACAAGCUUGCCACUACGAUUAAGAACCUUGGGCCAACAUGAGCCUCUUUCCCUUGGCUGGGAUCAGAACCCACCUGCUUAGCUGCGACAGUCUGGGUGUUUGGUCUACACCCCAGACCACCUGCGUUAGACUUUCUGGGUGUGGAACACAGCGUGGGUAUCCCUGGAAGUGCCUGGCGACUUCUGUGUAACCGAAGUUGCUGGAAGCAUUUAUGAAGCAUCGUAUGUCUCAGCGCUUUUCAUUAACGAUUUUUCAAUCCUCUGGUAGCCUCAUUAUUUUCAUACGGGAACUAAGGGUUAGGAUGUUCCAGAGCUGGGCCUUGACACCGCCAGGGUGACCUCAGACCCUAGGGUUAACGGCUGGCUUCACGGUGCAGCGUGGGGAGGGCGGGGGGACCGGGGGUUUGAGGUCGGAACGGCUGGCGCUCUGUUGUGUGGCCGUAGUGCACUUGGGCAUUUCCCCUGUGGGAGGGUACUUACCAUGCUGUCGAUAUUCUGACUGUUAUAAACCAUUUUGCACAGGAUAUUUUGUACCUCAGCUAAAUCCGUCUCUAAUUGUUUACUUAGAAUAAAUGAUUAGAGGAGGAAUUGGGUUUUAAGUAG
RNAcentral lists this long non-coding RNA (1327 nucleotides) under Sus scrofa (pig). RNAcentral's name for it is "lncRNA (ENSSSCG00050074762.1)". The record is from RNAcentral. Lineage: Eukaryota; Metazoa; Chordata; Mammalia; Artiodactyla; Suidae.